AGCUCCAGUAGCGUAUAUUAAAGUUGUUGCAGUUAAAAAGCUCGUAGUCAGAUUUUGGACUUUGAGAAUUGGUCUGGCUUUGUUGUCAGUAUUGAUUUUUGAGGUCUUUCUUUCUGGGGAAGCUGUUUGCUAUUAAUUUAGUGGGCAGUGUAUCCAGGACUUUUACUUUGAAAAAAUUAGAGUGUUUAAAGCAAGCAAUCGCUUGAAUACAUUAGCAUGGAAUAAUAGAAUAGGACUUUGGUUCUAUUUUGUUGGUUUCUAGGACCGAAGUAAUGAUUAAUAGGGAUAGUUGGGGGCAUUAGAAUCGACAUGUCAGAGGUGAAAUUCUUGAAUUUUGUCGCGUCUAACUUCUGCGAAAGCAUUUGCCAAGGAUGUUUUCAUUGAUCAAGAACGAAAGUAC
RNAcentral lists this ribosomal RNA (400 nucleotides) under phytoplankton environmental sample. RNAcentral's name for it is "partial small subunit ribosomal RNA". It matches the Rfam family "Eukaryotic small subunit ribosomal RNA", at positions 587 to 992 of the family's 1831-position model. The record is from RNAcentral.